This 2921-nucleotide ribosomal RNA is filed under the name Staphylococcus aureus. RNAcentral's name for it is "23S ribosomal RNA". It matches the Rfam family "Bacterial large subunit ribosomal RNA". The record is from RNAcentral. Lineage: Bacteria; Bacillati; Bacillota; Bacilli; Caryophanales; Staphylococcaceae.
UUAAGUUAUUAAGGGCGCACGGUGGAUGCCUUGGCACUAGAAGCCGAUGAAGGACGUUACUAACGACGAUAUGCUUUGGGGAGCUGUAAGUAAGCUUUGAUCCAGAGAUUUCCGAAUGGGGAAACCCAGCAUGAGUUAUGUCAUGUUAUCGAUAUGUGAAUACAUAGCAUAUCAGAAGGCACACCCGGAGAACUGAAACAUCUUAGUACCCGGAGGAAGAGAAAGAAAAUUCGAUUCCCUUAGUAGCGGCGAGCGAAACGGGAAGAGCCCAAACCAACAAGCUUGCUUGUUGGGGUUGUAGGACACUCUGUACGGAGUUACAAAGGACGACAUUAGACGAAUCAUCUGGAAAGAUGAAUCAAAGAAGGUAAUAAUCCUGUAGUCGAAAAUGUUGUCUCUCUUGAGUGGAUCCUGAGUACGACGGAGCACGUGAAAUUCCGUCGGAAUCUGGGAGGACCAUCUCCUAAGGCUAAAUACUCUCUAGUGACCGAUAGUGAACCAGUACCGUGAGGGAAAGGUGAAAAGUACCCCGGAAGGGGAGUGAAAUAGAACCUGAAACCGUGUGCUUACAAGUAGUCAGAGCCCGUUAAUGGGUGAUGGCGUGCCUUUUGUAGAAUGAACCGGCGAGUUACGAUUUGAUGCAAGGUUAAGCAGUAAAUGUGGAGCCGUAGCGAAAGCGAGUCUGAAUAGGGCGUUUAGUAUUUGGUCGUAGACCCGAAACCAGGUGAUCUACCCUUGGUCAGGUUGAAGUUCAGGUAACACUGAAUGGAGGACCGAACCGACUUACGUUGAAAAGUGAGCGGAUGAACUGAGGGUAGCGGAGAAAUUCCAAUCGAACCUGGAGAUAGCUGGUUCUCUCCGAAAUAGCUUUAGGGCUAGCCUCAAGUGAUGAUUAUUGGAGGUAGAGCACUGUUUGGACGAGGGGCCCCUCUCGGGUUACCGAAUUCAGACAAACUCCGAAUGCCAAUUAAUUUAACUUGGGAGUCAGAACAUGGGUGAUAAGGUCCGUGUUCGAAAGGGAAACAGCCCAGACCACCAGCUAAGGUCCCAAAAUAUAUGUUAAGUGGAAAAGGAUGUGGCGUUGCCCAGACAACUAGGAUGUUGGCUUAGAAGCAGCCAUCAUUUAAAGAGUGCGUAAUAGCUCACUAGUCGAGUGACACUGCGCCGAAAAUGUACCGGGGCUAAACAUAUUACCGAAGCUGUGGAUUGUCCUUUGGACAAUGGUAGGAGAGCGUUCUAAGGGCGUUGAAGCAUGAUCGUAAGGACAUGUGGAGCGCUUAGAAGUGAGAAUGCCGGUGUGAGUAGCGAAAGACGGGUGAGAAUCCCGUCCACCGAUUGACUAAGGUUUCCAGAGGAAGGCUCGUCCGCUCUGGGUUAGUCGGGUCCUAAGCUGAGGCCGACAGGCGUAGGCGAUGGAUAACAGGUUGAUAUUCCUGUACCACCUAUAAUCGUUUUAAUCGAUGGGGGGACGCAGUAGGAUAGGCGAAGCGUGCGAUUGGAUUGCACGUCUAAGCAGUAAGGCUGAGUAUUAGGCAAAUCCGGUACUCGUUAAGGCUGAGCUGUGAUGGGGAGAAGACAUUGNGUCUUCGAGUCGUUGAUUUCACACUGCCGAGAAAAGCCUCUAGAUAGAAAAUAGGUGCCCGUACCGCAAACCGACACAGGUAGUCAAGAUGAGAAUUCUAAGGUGAGCGAGCGAACUCUCGUUAAGGAACUCGGCAAAAUGACCCCGUAACUUCGGGAGAAGGGGUGCUCUUUAGGGUUAACGCCCAGAAGAGCCGCAGUGAAUAGGCCCAAGCGACUGUUUAUCAAAAACACAGGUCUCUGCUAAACCGUAAGGUGAUGUAUAGGGGCUGACGCCUGCCCGGUGCUGGAAGGUUAAGAGGAGUGGUUAGCUUCUGCGAAGCUACGAAUCGAAGCCCCAGUAAACGGCGGCCGUAACUAUAACGGUCCUAAGGUAGCGAAAUUCCUUGUCGGGUAAGUUCCGACCCGCACGAAAGGCGUAACGAUUUGGGCACUGUCUCAACGAGAGACUCGGUGAAAUCAUAGUACCUGUGAAGAUGCAGGUUACCCGCGACAGGACGGAAAGACCCCGUGGAGCUUUACUGUAGCCUGAUAUUGAAAUUCGGCACAGCUUGUACAGGAUAGGUAGGAGCCUUUGAAACGUGAGCGCUAGCUUACGUGGAGGCGCUGGUGGGAUACUACCCUAGCUGUGUUGGCUUUCUAACCCGCACCACUUAUCGUGGUGGGAGACAGUGUCANGCGGGCAGUUUGACUGGGGCGGUCGCCUCCUAAAAGGUAACGGAGGCGCUCAAAGGUUCCCUCAGAAUGGUUGGAAAUCAUUCAUAGAGUGUAAAGGCAUAAGGGAGCUUGACUGCGAGACCUACAAGUCGAGCAGGGUCGAAAGACGGACUUAGUGAUCCGGUGGUUCCGCAUGGAAGGGCCAUCGCUCAACGGAUAAAAGCUACCCCGGGGAUAACAGGCUUAUCUCCCCCAAGAGUUCACAUCGACGGGGAGGUUUGGCACCUCGAUGUCGGCUCAUCGCAUCCUGGGGCUGUAGUCGGUCCCAAGGGUUGGGCUGUUCGCCCAUUAAAGCGGUACGCGAGCUGGGUUCAGAACGUCGUGAGACAGUUCGGUCCCUAUCCGUCGUGGGCGUAGGAAAUUUGAGAGGAGCUGUCCUUAGUACGAGAGGACCGGGAUGGACAUACCUCUGGUGUACCAGUUGUCGUGCCAACGGCAUAGCUGGGUAGCUAUGUGUGGACGGGAUAAGUGCUGAAAGCAUCUAAGCAUGAAGCCCCCCUCAAGAUGAGAUUUCCCAACUUCGGUUAUAAGAUCCCUCAAAGAUGAUGAGGUUAAUAGGUUCGAGGUGGAAGCAUGGUGACAUGUGGAGCUGACGAAUACUAAUCGAUCGAAGACUUAAUCAA